GAUGAACGCUGGCGGCGUGCCUAAUACAUGCAAGUCGAGCGAACAUACGAGGGGCUUGCUCCUCUGAUGAUUGCGGCGGACGUGUGAGUAACACGUGGAUAACCUACCUAUCAGACUGGGAUAACCUCGAGACACCGGAUCUAAUACCGGAUAAUAUAUUGCACCACAUGGUUCAAUAGUGAAAGACGGUUUUGCUGUCACUUAUAGCUGGAUCCGCGCCGCAUUAGCUAGUUGGUAAGGUAACGGCUUACCAAGGCGACGAUGCGUAGCCGACCUGACAGGGUGAUAGGCCACACUAGAACUGAGACGCGGACCAGACUCCUACGGGAGGCAGCAGUAGGGAAUCUUCCGCAAUGGGCGAAAACCUGACGGAGCAAGGCCAAGUGAGUGAUGAAGGUCUUCGGAUCGUAAAACUCUGUUAUUAGGGAAAAACAAAUGUGUAAGUAACUAUGCACGUCUUGACGGUACCUGAUCAGAAAGCCACGGCUAACUACGUG
RNAcentral lists this ribosomal RNA (497 nucleotides) under uncultured bacterium. RNAcentral describes it as "partial 16S ribosomal RNA". It matches the Rfam family "Bacterial small subunit ribosomal RNA", at positions 28 to 507 of the family's 1533-position model. The record is from RNAcentral.